RNAcentral lists this ribosomal RNA (212 nucleotides) under uncultured bacterium. Its description in RNAcentral is "partial 16S ribosomal RNA". It matches the Rfam family "Bacterial small subunit ribosomal RNA", at positions 524 to 735 of the family's 1533-position model. The record is from RNAcentral.
UACGGGGGGAGCAAGCGUUGUUCGGAUUUACUGGCGUAAAGGGCGCGUAGGCGGCCACCGCAAGUCAAUUGUGAAAUCUCCGGGCUUAACUCGGAAAGGUCAACUGAUACUGCGGGGCUAGAGUGCGGAAGGGCAACUGGAAUUCUCGGUGUAGCGGUGAAAUGCGUAGAUAUCGAGAGGAACACCUGCGGCGAAGGCGGGUCGCGUGGGCC